RNAcentral lists this ribosomal RNA (425 nucleotides) under uncultured bacterium. RNAcentral's name for it is "partial 16S ribosomal RNA". It matches the Rfam family "Bacterial small subunit ribosomal RNA", at positions 354 to 796 of the family's 1533-position model. The record is from RNAcentral.
GUUAGGAAUAUUGGACAAUGGGCGCAAGCCUGAUCCAGCCAUGCCGCGUGAGUGAUGAAGGCCUUCGGGUUGUAAAGCUCUUUAGCCGAUGAUUAUAAUGACUGUAGUCGGAAAAUAAGCCCCGGCUAACUUCGUGCCAGCAGCCGCGGUAAUACGAAGGGGGCGAGCGUUAUUCGGAAUCACUGGGCGUAAAGCGUGCGUAGGCGGCUUUGCAAGUUGGGAGUGAAAGUCCAGGGCUCAACCCUGGAAUUGCUCUCAAAACUGCAAGGCUCGAAUUCGGGAGAGGAUAGCGGAAUUGUCAGUGUAGCAGUGAAAUGCGUAGAUAUUGACAGGAACACCAGUGGCGUAAGCGGCUAUCUGGACCGAUAUUGACGCUGAGGCACGAAAGCGUGGGGAUCAAACAGGAUUAGAAACCCGUGUAGUCC